UCAAUGGUCCUCGUGACACAAGAAAAAGGCAAGGAACCAGGCUGCCCUGCAGCCUCAAAGUCAUUGGAUCUAUCCAGGAGGGCGACCUGGAGUCAUCUUCAAGAGCUCAGAGCUUCUGUCAAGUGACCUUGGCCAACUCACUUCCCCUCUCUGACCUUCAGUUUUCAUCUGAUAAACCAGAGAUAAUAUUCCCUCUGUAGCAAGUUCAAAGAGGAUUAAACAAGAUGACAUACAUAAAAUAGCAAAAGACUGAUUUCCCCGUCGAGGCCAGUGUGAAGCAAAGAUCAUCUGCUGCAUAACAUGCUCUGUGCCAGGCACUCUCACCCAUGACACGCCAUCUAUCCUGUGGUCUAGAACACUAUGUUGCAUUUAUUUUUUUACGUGUCUGACGUUCUCUCAGAGUACUUUGAGUCUCUGGAGGUAUGGAAGCAUACGGGAAAGAAAAGCCAAGUGGAUCUGUGCAUAGAACCUGUUUUGCAUCUAACUAGCUGCCAAUCAGACAUGAGCAAGACUUUCAAGGGGUGUUUAGACAAAAAACACCUUAAUCCAUCAAGUGUAAGGCAUUCAUAUACAACUGGCAAAGAAUAUAAUCAAUAAUCAGAACAGAGGUAACCCUCACCUCCUUUUAAAAUCCUAUGCUUAAAGAUUUGCA
RNAcentral lists this long non-coding RNA (652 nucleotides) under Equus caballus (horse). RNAcentral describes it as "lncRNA (ENSECAG00000046709.1)". The record is from RNAcentral. Lineage: Eukaryota; Metazoa; Chordata; Mammalia; Perissodactyla; Equidae.